UGUACGGCUACAUCGACGAGGGUCUCAUGUCAUCGUCGUCGCCGUCCAAGGUGGGCCGUGGUCGCGCCGGUG
Molecule: non-coding RNA, 72 nt
Filed under: Alexandrium margalefii
Lineage: Eukaryota; Dinophyceae; Gonyaulacales; Pyrocystaceae
Source: RNAcentral